AGGGGUGUCAUAUAAUGGUAUUAUCUUGGUCUCCAAAACCAAUGAAGUGAGUUCGAUUCUUACCACCCCUGCCA
Molecule: transfer RNA, 74 nt
Filed under: Herbiconiux daphne
Lineage: Bacteria; Bacillati; Actinomycetota; Actinomycetes; Micrococcales; Microbacteriaceae
Description: tRNA-Trp
Rfam family: tRNA
About the family: Transfer RNA (tRNA) molecules are approximately 80 nucleotides in length.
Source: RNAcentral